Non-coding RNA from Cinara cedri, 205 nucleotides. NCBI's taxonomy places the organism in Eukaryota, Metazoa, Arthropoda, Insecta, Hemiptera, Aphididae. The record is from the annotation of a GenBank genome assembly.
GCAAAACAAAAUCCGGGUUUAAACCCGCGACCCUUAGGAUGAUAAAAGAUAUCUAUGAUCAGGCUACGACAAACAGUAAGAAGACAAUAUAGAAUUAUUUAACAUAAUAUAUAAUAUCCGCAUAAUAACAGAACUUCAAAAAGCUCCAAUUUCGAAACUUAGUCAGUCCGCAAAAUUCUGAUUUCACCAUUGUUUUUAAAUAGGC